UUUUUUGGUGCAGCGAUGUGUGUGUAUUCCGGUUUAUUCAUGAGGUUUGCGUGGAUGGUGCAGCCUCGUAACUAUCUACUUCUAGCAUGUCAUGCCUCAAAUGAAACAGUUCAGUUGUAUCAGCUUUCACGUUUUGCAAAGCAUCAAGGACUUGAUUGUUCGUAGAAUUGAUAUCUUCAAAAGGGUUCUUGUUGCACUGGUUUCAAAGGGAUAUAAACAGUUUGCACUUGCUCCAGUACUAACGCUUUAUGCCCAAAAACGUCUUCGAGGUCUGAUCAGUUAAUUUUUCGAGUACUCGACGCCAGUACAGUGACACACAACCACUCACCCGGUCUUCGCUGCUGAUCGCCGGUAUCACAGACAUCCACAGCCACAAACCAGCCCACAAAUUGUGGCAGCCGUACAUUUGGGUGUGGAUUAUUGUGAACCAUUUAAUUAUCAGGUAAUGAUUCUGACUUAUUAUGUCUGUAUACGCUCAAAACUCAACCGAACGAACUGACC
Helianthus annuus (common sunflower) is the source of this 501-nucleotide long non-coding RNA. RefSeq lists it as uncharacterized. The record is from RefSeq and is a predicted model, not a curated record. The transcript has 3 exons. Lineage: Eukaryota; Viridiplantae; Streptophyta; Magnoliopsida; Asterales; Asteraceae.